GGGAAAAGCCCGGGCUCAAUGGGGCGGGGUGCCAGGUACCGCCGGGGGGGAAACCCCACGACCAGUGAAACAGAGAGAAAACCGCCGAUGGCCCGCGCAAGCGGGAUCAGGUAAGGGUGAAAGGGUGCGGUAAGAGCGCACCGCGCGGCUGGUAACAGUCCGUGGCACGGUAAACUCCACCCGGAGCAAGGCCAAAUAGGGGUUCAUAAGGUACGGCCCGUACUGAACCCGGGUAGGCUGCUUGAGCCAGUGAGCGAUUGCUGGCCUAGAUGAAU
This 275-nucleotide RNase P RNA is filed under the name Escherichia coli. Its description in RNAcentral is "RNase P RNA component class A". It matches the Rfam family "Bacterial RNase P class A", at positions 43 to 313 of the family's 367-position model. From Rfam's summary of the family: Ribonuclease P (RNase P) is a ubiquitous endoribonuclease, found in archaea, bacteria and eukarya as well as chloroplasts and mitochondria. Its best characterised activity is the generation of mature 5'-ends of tRNAs by cleaving the 5'-leader elements of precursor-tRNAs. Cellular RNase Ps are ribonucleoproteins. The record is from RNAcentral. Lineage: Bacteria; Pseudomonadati; Pseudomonadota; Gammaproteobacteria; Enterobacterales; Enterobacteriaceae.